Molecule: long non-coding RNA, 560 nt
Organism: Tetranychus urticae (two-spotted spider mite)
Lineage: Eukaryota; Metazoa; Arthropoda; Arachnida; Trombidiformes; Tetranychidae
Source: RefSeq, a predicted model, not a curated record
AACGAAUUUAAUUUAAUUAAACGAUUGAUCAUCCAACUGAUAGUGCAAUAUAGUAGGACAUGGAAAACAAAGUUAAACAAUUGGUGAUUAAUUAUUAACUGAAAAUUAAUUGCAUUUUGCUUGAAUCAUCUUCAGGUGCAUCCCAAGAAUCAUGGAAAGUAAAGGUUAAAGAUGAUUGAAACGUAGCAUCAGAAAUCGUAUAAAAGAGAUGAAAAUUGUUCAAUUAAAUCAUUCAAUUCUUGCUAUCAAACUAGUAAACAACUCUAAUAAACUAACUUUCAAUUAACUUGUGUUAAUCACCAACCCAACAAACAAAACAAUGGAAGCCCGAACCAUCAUCGUUUACAUCGCCGCUCUUGCCUCAGUUGUCGCCAUGGCUUACGCUGAUCCUGAACCAAAACCAGAACCAAUCAUUGGCGGCCUUCUUAACAGUGUUCUUGGUGGACGAUGAUUCAAAGGCUUGGUUGGUUUAUCAGUUUUGUUAACCAUCCAUAGUUAAUAAUUGAAUCAUGACUGAUAUUGAAUCAAAAAUGAAUUAAAUAAAGCAUUGAAAAAGCAAA